Molecule: long non-coding RNA, 20414 nt
Organism: Mus musculus (house mouse)
Lineage: Eukaryota; Metazoa; Chordata; Mammalia; Rodentia; Muridae
Product: predicted gene, 31290
Exons: 3
Source: RefSeq, a predicted model, not a curated record
UCCUAACCUCUGAGCAAUCUCUCCAGUCCAGCUCCAUUAGACUGUCGUCAAGAGAGGAGCUGAGUCCGUCUAAGAUGCUAGCUGGGGAGGACACCUGCUCCAGCUCGACCUGCGUUGCUGUCUGACACUCGGGGGUGGGGGCACUCACCAGUGGUACCAAUCGUCACAGUCGUCACAGCCAAUCAUCGGGCUCCCGUCAUCAGGCUUGUUGCACCCUGGACAGAUCCAGAUCUGAUUGCCCCACUCAUCACGGAUCUGGUGGUAAAGUGCAGAGCAGAAACAGAUGGUGUGGGGGGAAAGAAGCAGGUAAGAAUGCUGCUUUAUACUGGCCACAGUAAACCAACAAGCUAGGUGCAUGCAUUAGCACUGUUGUACGCGACCAUCAGUCGCCUCUGCUCUGGAUCCAUAAAGAGGAGAACACCUGGUCAUUCAGGAACAGCGUCCUCCUCCUCCUCUUCCCUCACACACUCCCUCCUCUCACUCUCUCCUAGCUCUCUCCCUCUCAGUUUCCCCUACUCUUACACUCUCCCUCACACACCCCGCUCCGAUUUGUUGUUAUUGUUGUUGUUGAGGCAGAUCUCAUGAGCUCAGGCAGGCUUGGCUUGGCAGUCACUAUAUAGUCCAGGCUGGUUUUGAACUGCAAUCUUUGCCUCUACUUCCUGAGAACUGGGAUUUCUGGUGUGUGCUGCCAUGCCUGGAUAGAAGGACACAUUUCUAAUGCACAUUCUAAACUGCUUUAUAAAUCACUAAAAGCAAAGCAUCACAGAGUCAUCUCUGGGAACCGUGGAACACAACCUGAGUCGGCUUCACCUAAGAAUCCUAUAAGCUCACAAACCCCCAAUGAUUAUGGGGUGUCGGGCAGAAGCAAGUGAGAGUUAGAAAGCCCUCAGCUUUCUGUAUCCCCUCAGCCACGGUCUAGCACAGACAGUCAAGUGUGCAUGCGCGCCGUCAUUACUCAUUAGCCAGGCCCUGCUCCUGAGCUAGGUGAUAAGAUCAAGGAUGGAAAAGAGCUGUUACUGAGUAACUUUCCAUUCCCUUUAUGACAUUUUAGAAAAGCACAAUCAACUAAAGGGCGGAGGAAAGAAGAGGCUCAUGGGGCCAACGAACUAAAUGAUUAUUAUGCUCCAAAUGCUGUGUGUUCUGGAAGUUCUGACUUCGUUCUCAACAGGGAGCGCUCCUAACUGGACAGCUUUCUCAAAUGUCACAUUAUCAGAACUGCAUGGACACUGGAAAGGAGCGCCGAGUCACGCUUCCUUUUAAAUGUCCUCACAGUAAGACAGCAUAUGACUUCACUACAGAUUUUGCAAGGUGUCCUCGUCCUAUGCCUUUAGCACUGCACUGACUCGAUAUGUGAACGACCAGGGUUUCUUUGUGAGGGCUUACCAAGACUGGGCAUGUUCUGCUGUAUGCAUGGACUUGCUCAAAAGUUACUAUUUCAAAAAUCUCUAUAAAGCAAUCCACCUUGACCUGAAACUGUUCUAGAGGAAUGUGGAGAAAGCUGUCUCUGACUGCCAGCUCUAACUUGGGGGACACUGCACCAUGGGGAAAGAACCAGCAGCGUCCCCCAAGUGGGGGUGUCCAGUGGGUGAAGCCACCAUGCAUGGCUGGUCCUGCUGCUGGCUGACCUUACUUGACAUUAGCAGACUUGUGACUCUGAGAUACAUUAAAAAAAUUGCUAUAGCACCACAGUAGGACCCAAUAUUUUCCAGGGUACUGAGUUCUUUUAAAACACAUCUUCGAUAGUUUAGAAAUGGGGAAACAGGAGCUAUGAGAAUCUCACUGUCAAAAGCACACUAGCAGGCAGUAAUUGCCCUCUGUGUCCUCUAUCUGUAAAGUGCCUAGUUAGACUACAAGACAUUUGAGCGCUGUCCCAGUUGCUGUCACAUCUGUGAAGUCAGUUCCAGUGUCCACUGGAAAGCCACAAUCUUUAGAGCCAGACAAGAGUACAGAGAUUACUGAGUCUAAUACAAAUCCCUUAAUUACAGACAAACAAAUGGAGGCUGAGGACAUUUAGUAUAGACUCUUUCCUGGUCAGCUCACCUGGGGGCGAUGCCUCGAUUGCACUCCUCGGUUGAUUGAGGAAUGGACCAAUUGAAUCCUCACAGGUUUUUGUAUCACGUUUUCUGUCUUGAAUUGCUAAUUUACUAAUUUUAAGUUCAUUUUUCCUGUCUCUGUACUCUGAAUGCAUUCAGGAUUUUUAAAAAUAUUUGUUUCCUUAUACUGUCUCACAUAUAUAAUGAUUUAUUCUUUUCCAAACUCCCAUGUAACACGCUAUAUAGAUAUCUCAUAACAAAUAGCACCAGGCCCUGCAACUUCCCAGUCAUUCAACUCUUCAAAGGCUAGGUUAACUCAACAGUCUACAGAGCUUGUCAUUCAAAAGUGUCAAUAUCUCCAUUUACAAACUACUGUGUGUCUCUUUACUGUGCCUUGAGAACAUAUCUUUAUAAAUAGGUCAUUAUUGGACUGAAUUUGGGGUUGGAAUAAGAUCUGACACUAUUUAGUAUAGGGAGAUACCUAAGGGCACUCUCAGGACGACACAGAGCCACUCAGUGGGAUGAGAUGUGUUUCAUUACGUACUCUUAGCACUAGGGCUUAAACCCAGGGUCCGGCCCAUGCUAGGCAAGCUCUCUACCACUGAGCUAGGUCUAAGAAUAAAAAAUGCACUUGGAUACUCAGAAAUUCCUAUGGUCUAAAGGUUCGUUCUAUCUAAGUUCUUAUAUAUCCUGGAUCUCAGCAAAUAAAAUAUGAUAAUUAGUGCUACAAUUCAGAAAUAAUAGCUGGCUCAUAAGAUCUAUGUCUAAUAUAUAACUUAUGCUAAUGUUAAUAAUUUACUCACUCUAGUGAGACUCCACUGGAAUUUAAACACCACAGUUAUAUACUAGUGUUCUUAUAUUUAGGUAUAGAAAAGGCUCAAACCAACAUAAACAAGUGCAAUUUGACAUCAUUUACGUGGCCGAACAAGAACUUUGUAACGUAAGAGUCUGCAGUCAACAGCUUGAAAAGACAAUGGAGAUGCUUCCCCAUCUGCCAAGCAUCACCUGUGAGAGUCAACACUACAGAAGCUGCCCUCCGUAAAAUGCUGUGGAAAUCUGGGUCACUCACUCCUCCCUGAUGACUUCAGAUGUGUCACCUCGACUUCUGGGAUGAAAUUGGAAAAGUGCUGUGUCACUUCCGAGUGGCUUCUCUUGAGCCACUGGAGUUUUCUUUGCUUCAGAGGAACCCCUUUCUCCCUGGAAGUCAUCAAGCCCUAAAACCUGCAGGUGUUUUUAUAUUUAAUUCGGAUGAGCAUGCUGCGUCCCCCCCCCCCCAAUCUGGUAUUUAAACACUUGGUCCCUAGUUGGUGACAGUUUGGGGAGAAUUAUGUGGUACAGCCAUUACCAGGGCUCGACCUUGACAUUACAGUCUCAUCCUCUGUCUACUUCAUGCUUGUAGCGAAAGAUGUGAUCACUCGGCUUCCUGCUCCAGCCAUCGCACCUGCUACCUGUGACCAUGCCUCUCCACCAUAACUGAGCACCCCCUCUGGAACUGUAAGCCCCCCAAAUCUCUUCUAUACAAUGCUGUGGUUACAGUCCUGCUUGAUCACAGCAAACACUAAGUAACUAUCACAGAGGCUGGCAGAGGCAGUGGGCGCUUGUCUCACACUUCCGUCACUCUGCUACUCUUUUGAGGACCGUGGAAGACUUGAGAAGUCUAUUCCAGAACAGUGGUCAGAUGCUCUAAGCAUCACUGAGUAAGCUGCUCUGACAGAAGCCUGGAAACCAGCAACGCUGAGACGGCACAGACUACGAAGGCCAGCGUGAGGGGCUAAGAAGGAAUCAAUACUAGCAGCCCCACGAGAAGCCAGUCAGUCACGUGAUGUUUUGGUCAAGGAUUUGGUUGCUUUCUGUCCACAUCUUGAGAACUUGCCUGAGGCUACAUUUAAAAUUAACGGGUUAAUUUCUUUGGUGGGGAUUAUUAUUUCUUUUUUGUUGUUGUUGUUAAGAUUUAUUUAUUUAUUACAUGUAAGUACACUGUAGCUGUCUUCAGACACACCAGAAGAGGGCACCAGAUCUUGUUACGGAUGGUUGUGAGCCACCAUGUGGUUGCUGGGAAUUGAACUCAGGAUCUUCUGAAGAGCAGUCAGUGCUUUUAACCACUGAGCCACCUCUCCAGCCCCCGGGAUUAUUAUUUCUUCUUCCUUCCUUCCUCCUCCUCUUCCUUCUUGUUUCUCCUCCUCCUAUUUGUAUAUGUUUUGUUUUUUAGAGGCAGGGUACAACCCUGUACAACCCUAGUUGUCCUGGAACUCACUAUGUUGAUCAGGUUGGCUUUGAACUCAGAGACCUACCUGCCUCUGCCUCCUGAGAGCUGGGAUUAAAGGCUAGAGAAGGAAAUUUUAAAGCAACAAAAUAUGUGGUGUGGCUGUUAUUGAUAACACUCUGCAGUCUCCAGCAAAAAGCACAAGUAGGCCAAAUGCAAAUCAGCAAGUUUAGGAGAAAAGCACACUGGCCGAGGCUGGCUGCAGGAGGCUGUAAUUGUUUAAGAGAGAGAUUGGGGCAUUAAGAAAAAGCCUGCUCUGCAGUGGAACAAAGGGAAGUGUCCCCUCAGGGCCAGACUCUACCCACCCAAGCUUCCAACCUCAGGCUCUUUAAACUGCCCCUAGAAAGCAAUUACAAACAAACUUUGCUGGGUGGUGGCUGAGGUGGGGGGUGUAGACAGGUCCCUCCCUUUCUGCUGGAUAUGAAGACAUGCAUGCUGCAAAAGUGAGGGGUGGUGGAUUUCAGACAGCUAUCAAGCCAGACAGUACGUGGCAGAUAGGCCCGGAGUGAAGGCCCUGAGAAGCCUCACUGAGUGAAGCUGAGUGAAGUCUGGGUUGCAGUGGCAACCUAAGAUGGCGGAUCUGCCAAGGAGGAAUUGUAUGGAACUGACAGAAGAUACCAGUCUAUGCAUGUAAGAAACACAUGCAUUCCAGGUCAAUAAGAAGAAAAGCACAGCCCAAGCAUGCGCUAACAAAACUGUACAACAGAGAGAAGCCUGAGCAGCAGCUAGAGGAAAAAGAACAGCCACCUCACAGGAGAAACAGUGCAGCCGACUCAGGAGCUCAGCAAAGCAGAAGACAAACAUGCCAAAGAAAAAUAAAUUCCAGGUUUGAAAUCCUGCACAAAGAAUGCCAAAUAAAUACACUUUAGUCAAAUAAAAUGUAAGAGUUUACUACCUGCAGGCUUGUACAGAAAGAAACUAUUUGGGCCUUUACAUUUUUAAAUAAAUUAUUAAGAACCUUAAUAUUUAUCAUUUUAUAAGCUAAUUAAGAUAAGCAAUAUUUAUCAUUUUAUAGGCUAAGUGGAUAAAUUAAAAAAGAUUUAUUCAGUAAUGGCUCAAUGGUUAAGUGCACUGGCUGUUCUUUCAGAGGACCAGGGUUCAAUUCCCAGCACCCACAUGGCCGCUCACAACAGUGUGUAGUUCUAAUCUCAGGGGACGUAAUGUCAUCUUCUGGCCUCUCUGGUUAUUAGGCAUGCACGUGGUACACAGACAUAUAUGCAGACAAAUUCUCAAACAUAUACAAAUUAGAUAAAUAAUAAAAAGCAUUUUAAAAGUAGGGGCUUAGGACACAAGUCAGUGGUAUAUUUGCUGAGUACAGCUGAGGCGCUUAGUUCAAGCUCAACCUAACACCAAAACCAGAGAGCUAAACCACAAAGGUCUACAUGAGGUUAGAGGAGCAGCCCUGGGUGGGCUGGGCUGAGGUCUGAGAGAGCAAGCUGAGCAACACUCAUCCUUUCUGCUUCUUCACUGUGGAUGAAUGUGAGCUUCUGGGGCCAUGGCUUCCUUACUAUGAUGGGCUGUAUCCUCCAACUAGGAUGCACAAUGGCCCUUCUUUCUUCCCAUUGCCUUUGUUCAGUAACAAGAAAAGCAACUGAUGUAAGAAACAGCUUCUUUGAAAAAUAAACGUCACUUGAGCAAAGGACCUCAGAAGCAGACCUGCAUCAGGGGGAAUGGGUGUGGUGGUGGAAAGGUGAAUACGGUGACAGAAUGGCCUUACUGUGAAGACUAAAACGCCAGGACACAUAGUGCUGUAGGUCUGAGGAGGGACGGGCAGCCGGCAUGGUGCUUCUGAACGGUUUAUAAAACCAUGAUGGAUAACCCUUUGGCUAACCAGGUAGCUAGCUCAUGCCUUCAAUCCUAGUGGCUGGGAGGCAGGGACAGGCACAUGUGAGUUUGAGGCUAGCCUGGUUUACACAGUGUGUUCCAGGACAUUCAGGGCUAUAGACUAAGACCUGUGUCAAAAUACCACAUUAUAUAAGUAGUCACACACUUAUUUUUAUCAAAAAGAAAAAAAUAGUUGUGAGUAGUAUAAAUCCAAGUUUUCUAAGGAAAAAUACAAGCAUGAAUAUUUGUGUGUAGUUACAAAAAAAGUUCAAAAGCAUAUACUCAAGUGUGUGUAAACUAUUCAGAAACUGCCUCAGUAAGCUGGGAUUACAGGCUACUUUUCCUUCGCUUAUCCAUAAUUAACAUAUAAAUCUUAGAGUAAAAUUAACAAAAAAGUAAAAAUAUACACAUCUAGGUAUCUCUGGGAACUUAACACAAUGAUGGCUUGCCCAGUACCUUCUAGGGAAAUGCUGGCCACGUUUAGUGAUACAUAAAUGGCAUGGAGCCCCAGGUUAAGUCAAAGGGCAGCACAGCACAGGUGACUGCCAUCGCUGAUGGAGAGCAAAAGCCUAAAGUCCAAGGAAGCAGCGAAGAGAGGCUUCCCGGUCUAUGCUGUUUGUUUGUGUGGCUAAAGUAAUAAAUGCGUCCUUUAGCUUUUGCUAUGGUUUGCAUGUGGUUUGUUCCAGAAGAUACAUAUGCUCGUGUGCUGGGUCUUCAGUGUGUUGAUAUGACAAGUGGAAGGAUUGUCUAGAGGUGGGGUUUAGUGUGAGGGAACUUAUGCAUGUAUCGUGUGUGUGUGUGUGUGUGUGUGUGUGUGUGUGUGUGUGUGUGUAAGGACAAGUUAUUAAAGUAGACACAUGAUUUUAUAAGACAAACUAUAAAUUAUAACUACUUCCCCAGCUCUUGAAGUUCAGAGUUUCCUAGAGUUUGAGUUAUUUUGAGUUUAGCUUCUAAGAGACUUAGGCUAGUUGAAUAUACAGUUUUCAAAACAAUUCUUUCUUUUCUUUCCUUUCCUUUCCUUUCCUUUCCUUUCCUUUCCUUUCCUUUCCUUUCCUUUCCUUUCCUUUCCUUUCCUUUCCUUUCCUUUCCUUUCCUUUCCUUUCCUUUCCUUCCUUUCUCUCUCUCUCUCUCUUUCCUUCCUUCCUUUUCUUUCCUCCUUUCUUUUCUUUUCUUUUCUUUUCUUUUCUUUUCUUUUCUUUUCUUUUCUUUGUCUCCCUCCCUUCCCCCUCCCUUUCUUAAGAAAAAUUCUUUUAUUAUCUAGUUUUAGCAAUAUGAAAAAUCACAUAGCAGUACAACAUAGUCCAGGCUCUCCGACCAGAUCUGCUAACCUGUCAUCAGCACACGAUUUAAUCACAGUGGAGAAGAUUUUGGUCCUGCUUGCUCUUGCCUUCCUGUUGACAUGCACAGUAAGUUCCCCUUCAGAGCUUCCUGUUGAGUGCCAGCGGCUCCCAGAGAAAGCAAUGCAGUCCACAAGUGUGCCCCGCAGUGGCUCUGCUGCUAAAGUUACAGCUCUUGGAGGAUUUAGUCACAGUGCUCUAACUGCUAGAAACACUGGCGUUAUUCAUACAAAUGUGUGGAAGGAGGGACUGUCAGAGGGAUUUCUUUACCUGUUUCCCCACCACAAACAGAAUGGGUCAUGAGCUGUAAUGCAAACUCACAGCUUGACAAGUCAAUAAAGAGGCAGGCCGAGCCUCCCAGCCCCCCAGAGCCUCCAAGGUUAGAAGCAAACACAAUUUGGAUAUGUUCUGCACAGGAGGUUUAAUGAUCCUCAUUAUUCCGCUAUUGUGUGCAAACACUAUGAAACCAGUAAUCUAAAUUAUCAGAGUCCAAAUAACUGGCUACUCAAGUGCUCUCAGUUGAAAAGUUCCCUCACAAUGGCUUACUUAUUUACCUAACAGUGAGUGGCCAUUUUUAGAUGAUGACAUGACAGAGAAAAGCACAGUAGUCAUGUUUAGGGAGAGCGGCCAUGUGACCUUCUGAACACAGAAAUUAGUCAAUGCAGAACAAUCACUUUGAGGAAAAAGCAUGUUGCUUAAAUAGCAAUUCUCCUAACUUUCUUAUACAUAUUUAAUUUUAGAUUUCAGACAUACCAUCUGCCACAAGAAACACAUUCUCACAUGUUAAAUGAACCUCUUCUCACAACAAAUUCGGACUAUUCCUGAGAGUUUACAGUACUCUGGCUGGGAUACCUCGAGGUUGGUUUGUGACAUGAAUAUGUAUGUCUAGUCUUCCUGUUUUUGCAUUUUCACUUUUAUGGAAAGCCCCAGAUAGACCUAGCCUAAAUGUGGUAGUCAGUCUGGUGUGCACUCACUGGCAGAUUUAAAUACUAUGAAAGUCACUCACUUCCAGCAAUCUCCCUUCGGAGACCACCUAUGAGUGCUCCAUGCUCCCCUUGCCCCAUGUGGGGAAAGGCGGCUGCGGUGUCUGCCUUGGCAGGAGCUGGUGGGCUGGUGAACUUAGACCCAGUCCUCAUCGAGGCCUUCAGAUGGCGUUUCCUUGACUGCAACUUCUAAGACCUGAGUGAAAACUGCUCAAACCCUCAGAAGCCAGCGGGGAGGCCCAUUGUUUAAAACAGCUAAAUUCCAGGCCUAUUUGUUGUAUGGGAAUGGAAAACAAACACACCAAGUUUUCCACUUUUCUAGCUUCAGUAUCUAAGCAAAUAUUCCAAACUUGGGAGGAAUUCUAUUUUAGAGUAUCAGUACUUAAAAUGCCAAACAGUGAGACAGUCAUUUCCAUAUUUCACGUUGAUCAAAUACCCAAAGACAAUUAUGAGAAUCAGUUUUAUGUUGAUUCUUCAAAUCAAUCAUUAUUCCUUAUUCUUCUUGAUCCUCACAGCUCAAAAUUUAACAUUCGUAUAAUUAUAAGACAACGAUAAAUGGAUUUAAUUCCUCCAGCUCAUGGCUUUGCCUCCUGAAUAUUUACAUCGUCUCAUAAAAUGCGUAUUUUAUCUUGUCAUAGCCCAAGUACACAUCAAGUAGCAAACAUUUUAUCUUUUAAUGCAGGCAUGACCUAUUUGAAAAAUGAAACAAAUUGCAUGAAGUAAUUAGAGAAAAACAUCACCAUUAUAGAAUCUUGUUUCCAAGGGAGAGGCCCAAAUGAUUAUACUUCUAUUGUCAAAUGUUCAAAAUCUGUAAAAUACCCUAAAAGGGCACCAAGACUCAGAUAAGUAAUGAAUAACGAACAUUUCAUUGGGCUUGCAAGAAGAUGCGGCAGAGCGAUAACAGACUAAGGAAAGCGGAAGGAUGAGCUCUCAAUAAGCCAUGGGGAUCGGGAAGAAACAAACACUCAGAAGCCAGCACUCUCUAACUUUGGAGUCAGGUAAAUCAUUCUCUAUAUUCAAGAAAAUUAAUUUGUUUUUUAAGACAGGGUCUCACUAUAUAGCUCUGGCCGGCCUAAAACUUGGUAUGUAUGUUAGGUUAGCCUUGAAGGAUCCGCUUGCCUCUGUCACCCAAGUGCCACCACACUUGGUUCAGAAAAUGAACUUUUACAACUGUCUUAGAAUGAACAAUAAGCAGAAAUGAAUGAUAUGGCAUCCCCAAGCAUGUCAUAAUGAUGAGAUAGUAAACAUUUCAGGAGACUAGGAUGCUGGUAUAUUGAUCACACAUCCAUAGAAAAAUGUAAGAAUAUAUGCCGAGUGAGGUUAACACCUUAUUAGCUGUAGGCCAGGUCACUUCAGAGGCCUUCAAAGCAAUACAAUGCUACUGUUCCUAGAAACCCAGUGGAAUUCCAGUAAGACUCUGCUGCCAAAGAUAUGUGCUCUGGAUGCCGGACACUGAGAAACAAAGCUGGAACUGAGCAGUAGGCUUUAUAACUUCCUGCCAACUACCUUCAUAAUGCAGAAAGAUGCUAUGCAUGCUGUUGGUGGAUAAGGGUCAUUAACAAUCACAUCCAGGUGGACACCUGUGUGUGUGUGUGUGUGUGUGUGUGUGUGUGUUGUAUGCGUGUUUGCAGGUGUGUUGAGGUCAAGCUUCUUCCACGACUGCUUCUUGACCGUUUUGUGACAAGGUUUCCCACUGAAGCUGGGCCUAGAAUUUGGCUGGCCUGGAUGGCUAUCAGGCUGCAGAAAUCCGCCUCCCUCCCCUUUCCAGACCUAGGAUUACAGUUGUAUGCCAACAUGCCCAGCCUUUCACAAGGGUGAUGGGCAUCUGAACUCAGCCCUCCUGUUUGCACACUAAGCACUAUGUCCACCGUGCUAUCCCCCCUGCCUGAUUUUCUUUCCUUUACAAAUACAUCUAUUUUCUAGAUCUUUCCCUUGUGAAGGCCUAGAAGUUAUGACAUUGUAGUAGCAAUGGGAACCUCUAUAGUGCGGUUCCUCCUCCACUGAUAGAAUCAAUGUUCUCUGAAGGAAUGGUUAAUUUGAGGUCUGUGGAAAUGACCAGUAACACACAGGAAAUACAUGAAAGCUAUUCAGCACUAAUGAGGUUGUACUGAAUCUAUCAGACAACAUGAGAGAAUUACCACUGGACAAGACAGGAUAAUUUGAAAAUGAACAUGAUAAAGGAGAAAGGAAAGGAGAGGAAACAGAUGGGGGUGGGUGGGGUGGGCAGAGACAGACCAAACCCAACCAUCAUCACUAGUGCAAUUCUGGAUCAGCCCCACCAACUCCUCCCUCUGAAGACAGUGACAGGGAUUCAGUCAGCAUUUCUCAUCCCUUUCCUGUUUGAUUUGUACUUCAAAAUAACCAAAUAAAAGUACACUUUCAUGAAAAGGUUUCAGUUAAUAAAUACUAAAUAGAUGGUCAGAUUUUUAAAGCCCAGCAUUUCACAAGGUCUAAUGAAAGGACUGAUUUAUUAAUUAAGAAUGUGAAGCUCACCAUGUGCCUCUGCUGAGACAAAGGCCACCAGAGUUGGAGAGAUGGCUCAGCAACUAAGAACAUUUAUUGCUCUCCCAAGGACCAGAGCCAGGUUCCCAGGUAGCUCACAACCACCUAGGAUUCCAGUUCCAGGGAAUCCCACAUCUGUAGCCUUUUCAGGCACUAGCAUUAAUGUGCACACACCCACAUGUGAACAUGCAGUGUGCCUACACAUAAUAAAAAUUUCUCCUGCCAUGCAAAAAGGAAGGAAAUCUUAAGGAAGUGCUAUCUGUUUUUUCUUUUUCUUUUUCUUUUUCUUUUUCUUUUUUUUUUUUUUUUUUCUCUUUUUGUUUUUUCGAGACAGGGUUUCUCUGUGUAGCCCUGGCUGUCUUGGAACAAACUCUGUAGCUCAGGCUGGCCUCGAACUCAGAAGUCCGCCUACCUCUGCCUCCCAAAUGCCUGCGCCACCACUGCCCGGCCUCUUUUUGUUUUUUGAGUUUCUGUGUGUAGCCCUGGCUGUUCUGGAACUUGCUCCAUAGUAUAGACCGGGCUGUCCUCAGACUCAAGAGACCCAUCUACCUCUGCCUUCCAAGUACCGGGAUUUAAGCUGUGCACUUUAAUCCACCACCACCUCCCAGCAAGAAGAGCUCUUUCAUCUUUUAGAUUUUAAGCUCAAUAAUGGUAAUAUUUAAAGCACAUGUGACAGAUGAAUACUUGUAUACAGAAAGAUAGUUCAUGCUUUUAGAGAGGCAAAAAAAAGCAGAUGGGGCAAUUAGACAUUUUAUAAGGCUCUGUGACAGUAACCUAAGUUUACAAGGCAGAUGUUAAUUUCCUUGUAUUUAUUAUAAACCAAAUAAAUUGAAAACAAUAAAAAGGUAGAAAAACAUUGCGCCCUACUUCCUGGCUUUGAAUGGCUUGGUGGUGGCAGAGCACUUGUGCCUGCAGAGCACAGGGAGCACGGACAGCCACUCGGCACGUGUGCAAACAGACACUCCUGGAGCAUCUCAUACACAGUGCUCUUCUAUACGUCAGCAAAACUCACACAUCCACGUCCACGUAGCCAGUACCUCACUCACACGGCCACGUCCAUGUAGCCAGUACCUCACACGGCCACGUCCGUACAGCCAGUACCUCACUCACACGUCCACGUCCAUGUAGCUAGUACCUCACUCACACGGCCACGUCCGUACAGCCAGUACCUCACAGCCAAGGCAUACCAUAUGCUAGAGCCAUGCUCCACAUCAGCCUCAAGUCCAACACCAGCAAGUGUCCUAACAGUUGAAUGAAUGAUAAUAAAGAUACAUGAAAUGCCCAUGAUCUAGUUAUGCCCGGGGGUGGGAGCAAAGCUAUAGAAUAGAAUAUAUGAUAAUUCCAUUGUUUAAUAGACUCUGUGGACAUGGUGUGAAGGGUCAGAGUUAACUUGUAGCAGUCAGGCCUCUCCUACCACAUGGGUUUCUGGGCUGGAACUCAGGCCACAGAGCUUGAUGGCAGGUACUUUACCCUCAGAGUCUCACUAGCCCACAGUUAAGUCUUUAAAGAAAAUAAGGACCAUAUUAUUUUUGCAAUCAGAAGUAAAAAAAAAAAUCAAUGUUAAUUACUUCCACACAUAGCAGUACUGUUUAAAUGAUUUUUAAUACAAGAACCCUGAUUUUAUCCAAAAGACAUAAAAUACUGAAGUACCAUAUAAAGACCAAAGGAGAUGGUCAUUUUUUGCUCAGUUCUGAAUAUUUGGCGCAAGGGAGCUUGUUUGUCCAGCACAGUAUUAUAAAAUAAACAUAAUAUCUCAAUUCUAUUACUCAGUCUCCGCCUUUCUUCAAGUUCUUCUAAGAUAUACAGUGGCUUGAGAAUAGAGGCCCCAGGUUCAUCACCAGCUGUAAGAAACAAGAGGAGCCAGUGUGGAGGACACCACUGUGGUUUGAUUUUUAAAAAUACACUUGACAAUGACAUUGGUCAUUUGGACAAAAUUUGCUGAGAGGUAACUGUGCUAAAUACUAUGAACAAAAAAGGUUUGUAAUCAUCACUGAUUGACUGAAUCAUGAAGAAUAAGUAAGAAUAGAGUGAGGAGAAGAGCAAGAAAGGAAGGUGUGUAAAGAAAAAGGAGUACAUACAAGAAAGUACAAGGGAUGGUCAGAGAACAAGCAGGGAGAAACUGGGGUGACAUCGAGUCUCCUGGGCAACAGAACAGGGCCCUGACAAACAAAGAGAAGUAGGGCUCUUAGGACUCAGCCUGCUUUCUGCACCAGUCCCAGCAACACGUUACAGAAGCUUUGCAAAUGAAGAGUGGGAAAAAGCUACAUGGAAACCUAUGAUCUUCCAACUCAAGAAAAUAAUUCAAUUAGAGAGGACCGUAGGUGGCCUUGUUGUUGAAGCACUACUCACUUCGGUUUCAGGGCACAGAGAAAUCAACCUUGACUAACCAGAAACAUCUCCGUGAUGGCUAGCUUACAUAGUAUCAGAAGGUGCUAUGCAGGGGGAACGAAAGCCAUUAGUGGUCUUUCUCAGCACUAGACCCCACAUUCUAGGACACUGACCUGCUGGCAAGAUGCACCCACUGGUGUAAUAGUGGCAUGGCAGCUACAUGUGUAACUAACUACACUCUGAGCAGACACUGGUCUGUUGUACAGGAGGGAUGAUUUUCAUGCCUGUUGUUGUAAAUCUGCUCCAAAGCUGGGAGCAGGUCAUAGGACUGUGGAGGUCAUAGGUCUGGGGACUUGGGGAAAACUAUUGUUAAUUGGCUAAAUUAUAAUGCUGCCAAACUCUGUUCUAAAUAGUUAAGUUUAUACUCAUAUAUUUAUAUUGUUCUCUGUUUGGUUAGAGAAGAUUCUUUUGGUAGUGGGUGAUGGUUAAUGCAGAAACUUGUAACUGCUUAAAGUACCAAAUUUAAAUUAAGAACAGGCCAUCUAUAUCAAUCUCCCACCAAAGGUUUAGGGAACUUCAAGAGGAGGGGAUGGAGAGAAUGUAAGGGCUAGUAGAUGGGGAGAAAAGCUAAGAAAUGCUGACACUGAACAUGAUAUGGUUAUUGUACAUAUCAACUCAUAGCAUUUAUGGUUGUCUGAACAAAAAUAAAGCAAUCAAAAUUACAGCCUGCAUAGGGAGAGGCCCUCAAGGACCCAGCCAAAACUGAGGAGCUAUUGGUUGUUGGCGGCUGCAGAGGAAGGGAAGUUACUCUGCUUUGAGGACAUGGGAUGGGGUGCUUAUGUCCCAGUGGAUGGCCACACACUCAUGGACAUAUGGGAAACAUUAACGCCCAUAACUAAUAACCAACAGUCAAAAGGACCCGAAGGUGGGUGGGAUGCAGAUGGGAUGAGGCACUAUCCAGAGUUGGAGGGAGGUGGCAGCUGAUGGAUAUGGUCAACGUACACGGUAUUCGUGCAUAGAACUUUCAAAGAAUAGAAAGCAUUCUCUAAAAAAGAAGCUAUAGAAGUUCCUUGAGUAGAAACCCAGGACGAAGUGGGCCAAAGAGUUCACACAGCGUAAGGAGAUCUGAAGGGGUGUUUUCAGAUUUCCCUGACAGACUGAAGCCUGGGGAAGGCAUGGGCUCAGCAUGCGAAGAUGAGACUGAAAGAAAAACAAGAGAAAAAGGAAAAUACAGCCGAGAGCUGAGGACCAGGAGAGAGAGAGAGAGGCCCUAGAGCAAGUGGGAGUUGUAGGCUGAUAAGAGGCACAGGAAGAGACUGACCUGUAAGGAUCGGUAAGGAUGCUGCUCCAAGGUCUUGCUUACAGCCUGGAAGGCAGGCUGAGAGGGGAUAUGAUGUGAAAUUCUGGAACCCCACAGAACAAAUCUGAACAGACAGGCCAACAAGGCUUGCUAGUACUGUGUGCAGAACUGAAGCUACACUUUAAGAAAAAGGGGUAAAGGUCAUCCCAGAGCCCUUGCUGUGAUACGGGGAUCCAUUUUAUAAACUCCUGAGGCAGGUAUGGAAAAGGAGACGAAACAAGUUAUUCCAUGUAUCCAAAAUCUUUAUGCAAGUGUCUGAGUCUACCACCGGAUAGACAGGAAACAGAGAAUGCAAAUGAUGUAACAGGAGGUCUAAACGUUCUAUCCCGACGCAUCUCUUGUUUAAUAAAGAACUGAACUGUGAGCAGGUUGAUCUUUAGAGAAUUAUAAUCAGAUAGCAGCCGAAAGGUUACCAUGAUACAGCUAAAUUAUCUCUGCCUGUCACAGGUUAAAGGACAUUUACAUUCUGGAAGUUCACAUCAGCUUUUUUUUCCCGAUAACAAAUCUUAAGUACCUUCCUAUAUUCAUUCAAUUAGUGAUGUUGGGCCUUGAUAAAGCUGUGGAGAGAAACUUUCCAACUAUCAUUCAAAUCAUAUCUAAAAAGGUGGUCAUAAAUAUUUUAAAGCCUAAGUGAACUAAUAAGACCUAGACCCAUUAAGGAUAAGAUCUUUUACAACAAAUUAAAUAAAACAAUUUAUUGAAGUCUGGACUCCAGAUAAGCUAGAUUUACUGGCUGACCUUUUAUUCAUUUAAGGAACAAAAUUAGCUCUAAUUGCAUUAGAAUGGAAUUCAGUAAAUUUUCCUCAGUCUUCUAAUGUGGCAUCCCUAUAAGAACUGCUGGAAUUGUUUACAAGCAAGAUGGAAAUGCUUUGAUUGUAAUCUUUCCACUUGUUUUACUGGGUCAUAAAAGCAUUUCCCCAAACCCAAACCUGGUUGUUCUGACAGCAGACUAGUUUUUCUCUUAAAUACAUGUACUACAUUUUUGGUGACUGAGAGCAAAGUACAAUGCUCCAGAAGAAGUAGUUAAAUGUAAGACUUCGUCAUAACGCAAGGUUGGUGAAAAGAAGAGUAAUGGAAUACAUGAAGACCAGAGCUUUCUGAAAAAACAAAAACCAAAAAACUAAAAAAACUAAAAAAAUUAGUAAAGAGUUGAGGAUCCAAAUAAACAGCCAUCUAACUGGCUGUUUGUGACGAGGGAGCUGAGACAACCUAGGAGCCCAGAGAAGACAAGACUUCACAGGCCCCAGAGUCACUGGGCAGCCAGGAAAGCCUCCAGGAACGAUGCUUAGCAUUAAAGAGGUCCCGCAAAGACAGCAGACGUGCAGCUUGGUCUUCACGUGGAUCCCGAACAACAGGAGCAGGGCUGUCCCAAAGCUGUUGCCUGUCUGAGGGAUACCUUCUAGCCGGGCUGCCUUGCCUGACCUCAGUGGGAGAGGAAGCGCCUAGCCUCACAGACACUUCAAGUGCCAGGGGAUGGGGGGGGGGGGGGCAGCACAGAGGAGAAGGGGAGGUGGGAAUGGAGGGAAGGAUGGGGGGGGAGUGGCUGGGAGGGGAACUGAUGAAUAAGUUAAAAAAAUUAAAUAAUAAUAAAAAAAGAGGUCAUUUUAAUGUUGCAGGCACAGUUUUUAAAAUUCAAACUGCACUUACAAAUUCUAAAUAUGGUCAAGCUUAGGGCUUAUCACUGCUUUUGUUAUACCUUAAAGCCUGGCAAAAACCUAGGGAAUGUCUCCAUUUCCGUAGUAAUUUCACUAGGGCAGGGCAAAAGAAAGACAACCCAUGGUGCCUCAAUUAAAAAUCAAAAUCAAAAUCAAAACCAGUUUUGUUUCUGGGUUUUUCUUUUUUUUCUUUUCUUUUUUUUUUUUUUUUUUUUUGUGAAAGGGGAAAAUAUUGAAAUCAGAAAAUCAAGAGGCCUUCCCUGGCUGAAGGGCCAUGCUGCGUACUACUCAGCUUUGGUGCUACAGAGCUGUGCUGUGUACAAGGUUCCUUCUCUCCCGUCCUGCCCGCCUUUCUCUAACGACCACAGAAGGCACCUGUUCCUCUUGCCUGCCUUGUCCCAUAUUGUGGUGAGAGCCCACCUUCCUUCUGGAGUUCCCGUCAGCCCACUGCUGACAGGGUUCUGCUACACAGCACAGGCUGGCCUCAAACUUGCAGUUAUCCUCCUGCCUCAUUCCUCUAGGGCAAGGAAUUACAAGCAUGUCUGCCAUGUAUACUGUCCCUAGCUACAUUUUAAAGUAGAAAGAUGUUUAUUUCCCUUGAAAGUAUUGUUAAAUGGUUAUUUUUGUAUUUCCUAAUGGUUAUUCUAUUUCACUUGUCAAAAGUUUGGCAAUAGAAAGACAAGUAUCUAGACCUGCUUUAUAUUUAAAAUAUCAAGCCUCCUGUUUUUGAUCACUAAGCUUCAGCUCUAACUUCACCGCGUAGGGAACUAACUGAGAAACGACAACUAUUAUAAGUCCUCACUUCCGCGAACCUGCAGCAAGCGCAGGACGGCCUAGGCAAGAAGAAACUCUCUGGAGUGGGGAAACCUGCCAGGCACUACUGGAAACCAAACAGCCCCCCCCUUCUCCCCCCCCCCCCCCCCCCCCGUAUCUCAAACCCAACCAGAAAACUGGGGGAAGCCGAGAAACACAAUUCCCCUUGCAAACCAGGCAAACUCUCAGAGCUCUCACUUCUGAGCAGACAUAGCUGCCUGACAGGCCUUGGAGGGAGGGAGGAGCUGAGCAGGGAGGUCCCUGAAUUCCUAUCAGGAGCCUCUCUGUGGGGGAGUAUAGCCUAGCACAAGGAAAGGGGCAGACACUCAAAGCUGGGUCACAUGGCCACAGUCCCAGCUCAGGGCCAGCCUAGGCCACUUAGAGAGAUCUUAUGUAGGGUGGGCUUGAAGGUGUAACUUACUCCCUCCAGCUAUCUGUGAUAGCACAACUUUAAGGGGGACAUAUGCAAAGUGUGAGGAAGAAUGGUUAUUCUCCAUCAGUAGUCACCCUCAAAGUUUGUGCAAAUUUAUAUUACAUUUUAAUUAAUACUUUACAAUGACAAUAUGGAAAAUUACCUUUUUCUAUGAGGCAUAACUGAAGUUUGAAUUAUAUAAAUAUUCAGAUGUUUAAACUUAGAAAACCUAUAGGUACUAUUCUGUCAUGUUUCUUUUUUUUUUGUUUUUUUGUUUGUUUGUUUUUUUUUUUUUUCGAGACAGGGUUUCUCUGUGUAGCUCUGGCUGUCCUGGAACUCACUCUGUAGACCAGGCUGGCCAUCUGCCUGCCUGCCUCUGCCUCCUGAGUGCUGGGAUUAAAGGCAUGUGCCACCACACCCAGCCUGUCAUGUUUCUUUCUUGACAAUUGGUUUUUUUGUUUGUUUGUUUGUUUGUUUGUUUGGAGACAAGGUCUUACUUUAUAGCUCUGACUGGCUUGAAUUUGCUAGGAAGACCAGGCUAGCAUCAAAUGUAUAGAAAUCCACCUGCUGUUCCCUCCCAGAGUGCACCAUUAUACAUAGCUUCUCUGAGUUUUAACACAGUCAGGAAGGGUACUGGCGUUACAAGACGGUUUUGAGGGACGGGAGACUAAGGAAAACUGCUGCUGCCUUGCUAUGAGGAGCACUAACAGAGAACAGAGGACCCUCUCUAACCACAAAGUACUUUUGUGGAUCAAGGGCAGAAGACCAAAGUUCUUCAAGACUUAGAAACUAAAUGUUGUCUUAAGGAUCUUAAUUUCAAAAGACUUGGUCCUUCAGCAAUAACCCCUCCCCCACCCCCAGACAUGAGGAAUACACAGUGCAGAUUCUCUUGUUUUUGAAUAUCCAUGUGCUCAUUAAUUACCUUAAAAGCCAGCCCCCAGGUGUACAGACAAUAAGUGGACACACACUUAUGCAACUCCACACGUUCCAUCACUUAGCCAUGGAACAAGGUAUGUGCAGGGAAGUUCCUCAUGUGCCACCAUAAAAGACGGCUAGAAUUUGAAUGUUACCCAUGACUUGCGUGCCAUAACACUAUUUUUAAUUUUUACUUAAACAUUUGAUGUGUAUGGGCACAUGGGUGCAGACCCUCUGGACCUGGAGCUACAGGUGAUUGAGAGUCACCUGAUGUUCAUGCAAAGAACAUGGUCCUCUGGUCCUCUGCUGGCGCAGCAGGUGCUCUUCAUUGCUGAACCAACCCUAUAGCCCCACAGAAGAUUUUUAAAAGUUUUUCAGUCAUUUAAAACCAGAAAAACCAUUCUUGGCUUAUAGGCCAUACAAAAGCAAGUAGGCCAUACAGAUUCAGUAGGCUGGAAAUGGCUCCGCAGCUGCAGUUUAUCAAGCCCUAACUUAGAUCUUCCCAUCCCCGAGAAAUAGUCACUGAAUUUGUAUUUAUAUGAAGUUCUGGUUAACUUGAGCCCCUGCCUCCCUCGGACUUUAAUUUGACGUGCAAUGUGUUACACUUGAUGCCUGCUUUGGUCGAAUAGUUAGCUGUCCGUGUAACAUGGCGGUUGUUUUCUAGGCAUUCACAAGUCACAGGUUAUGUAAUACUACUUCCAAGGGUAAUCUAUCUAGAAUCCAGGCUGUCUGAAUUUCCCUCAAGCUGGACAUUUUGUUCCAGAGUGAUAGGAUCCAGUCCUUGCUUCGUCCUAUCUCUUAGGAAUAUGAAUGAUUUACUGAAAGGUGAAAACAGAACAGCUAGCCAACAGAAUUACCAACAGGUGCUUCAGGGCAGAGAGAUGAAUGUAACCAGCAAUGCCUUUUUAAAUCUUAAUUCUCUAAAGGGAAGAAACCAAGCUUCUGUGUGGGAGUUAAGACGGUAUUGCUGCGCUAUGGAGAAAAUAGGAAUUAAAUAGGAAUCUGUGAAAGUAUCCUUCGAAUGAUGAACAAGAACACUUCCCUUAGAGAAAUGAGACAGUGUAGAGGAUUUUCAAGGAGAAGGUGUUCCCUAGAGCUUGUGCAUGCUGGUAAGUGCUACUGCUGAGCUAGAACCUGGCUCAGGCUGGUCUUCCCAAGUAAGCUCAAGCAGAAUUCAAAGAGUUUUGAAGAGCUUCUGUUUGUUAGCAGUAAGAGCCCACCUGCCUUCGAGGUCUGUACGAGCACAGCAGAGUGAUGUGGAACUCAGAGAAAGUAGGGGAGACUAAGAAGCACCUGGACCCCGGCCUUCUCAGCUCUUCCUCUCCAGCAUAGACUUUUUUUGAAAGACAAUGUCGGCCUCUGUCUUACCCCAUCAUAAUCUGGAGGGACUCCUUUAUUGAAGAGAGCAGUAUAUAGAAUACACAUGCUCUAUGAUGACGUGAACUGACAACAGUGAUCUCCUGCACUGUAAACCCUGUCAAAGGUCCAGGUCUGGGGAGGUCACAGGCCCUGGGUGGUGGUGGUGGUGGGGGGUCUCCCACUGUUGUUUUACUAAAGGGACACAGUGUCAAAAGGCCUUGUAAAUAUUUGUGUUUACACCCAUGGGUAAGUACUGCUCUGUCAGAAACGAACGGCUAAUGGCGGUGUCUAGUAAGGUAUCAAAGCAGAGGCUGGUCAGCUCUCCCAGCAUCUUCCACAGUAUUCAUGGCUCCUUCCAGCACUCUCCAUCCAGUCCCCUACCCUCUCAGGGGUCAGGCCUCUGCUUGGCUUCCCUCAGCCUGAUGUCUAUAUAACUCAGCUGUGGUGGCUAAGCAGCUCCCCUGGCCUCUUGGUCAGGAGUAGCCUCUCUUACUCAGGGUCUGGUUUAGUCUGGUGGCCAUGCUCAGUAUGGAGUCUUUCUUCCCUCUGCCUGCUUUCUCCCUUAUAUCUGCAAUAGAAAUCUUCCCAUACUUUAGGAGUAGGCAUGUCCUCCUCCCUUCCUGUAUUUCA